GACGAACGCUGGCGGCGUGCUUAACACAUGCAAGUCGAACGGAAAGGCCCUGCUUUUGUGGGGUGCUCGAGUGGCGAACGGGGGAGUAACACGUGAGUAACCUGCCCUUGACUUUGGGAUAACUUCAGGAAACUGGGGCUAAUACCGGAUAGGAGCUCCUGCUGCAUGGUGGGGGUGGGAAAGUUUCGGUGGUUGGGGUUGGACUCGCGGCUUAUCAGCUUGUUGGUGGGGUAGUGGCUUACCAAGGCUUUGACGGGUAGCCGGCCUGGGCGGGUGACCGGCCACAUUGGGACUGAGAUACGGCCCAGACUCCUACGGGAGGCAGCAGUGGGGAAUAUUGCACAAUGGGCGGAAGCCUGAUGCAGCAACGCCGCGUGCGGGAUGACGGCCUUCGGGUUGUAAACCGCUUUCGCCUGUGACGAAGCGUGAGUGACGGUAAUGGGUAAAGAAGCACCGGCUAACUACGUG
Molecule: ribosomal RNA, 468 nt
Filed under: uncultured bacterium
Lineage: Bacteria
Description: partial 16S ribosomal RNA
Rfam family: Bacterial small subunit ribosomal RNA
Source: RNAcentral